UGGGGAAUAUUGCACAAUGGGCGAAAGCCUGAUGCAGCAACGCCGCGUGAGGGACGACGGCCUUCGGGUUGUAAACCUCCUUUAGCAAGGAAGAAGCGAAAGUGACGGUACUUGCAGAAAAAGCGCCGGCUAACUACGUGCCAGCAGCCGCGGUAAUACGUAGGGCGCAAGCGUUAUCCGGAAUUAUUGGGCGUAAAGAGCUCGUAGGCGGUUUGUCGCGUCUGCUGUGAAAACCCGAGGCUCAACCUCGGGCCUGCAGUGGGUACGGGCAGACUAGAGUGCGGUAGGGGAGAUUGGAACUCCUGGUGUAGCGGUGGAAUGCGCAGAUAUCAGGAAGAACACCGAUGGCGAAGGCAGAUCUCUGGGCCGUAACUGACGCUGAGGAGCGAAAGGGUGGGGAGCAAAACAGGCUUAGAUACCCUGGUAGUCCACCCCGUAAACGUUGGGAACUAGUUGUGGGGUCCAUUCCACGGAUUCCGUGACGCAGCUAACGCAUUAAGUUCCCCGCCUGGGGGGUACGGCCGCAAGGCUAAAACUGCAAAGGAAUUGACGGGGUCAU
Molecule: ribosomal RNA, 559 nt
Filed under: uncultured bacterium
Lineage: Bacteria
Description: partial 16S ribosomal RNA
Rfam family: Bacterial small subunit ribosomal RNA
Source: RNAcentral